AACGAGGCCGACCUGCGGCUGAGUUACCUGCGGAAGGAUCAUUAACGCGCCGUGGAGGUCACCUUUAAACAGGUAUGACCUUCCACCUGGCCACCCUUGUUUAUCUUUAACCUGUUGCUUUGGUGAGCCCGCCGUUAAGGCCGCUGGAGAAUUUGAUAGUUUUCUGGCCCGUGCUCACCAAAGUCAUAAUGAACUCUUUGUCUUUUUGCAGUCUGAGCGUUUAAAAAGCAAAUAUUUUAA
Molecule: unclassified non-coding RNA, 240 nt
Filed under: soil metagenome
Description: partial contains 5.8S ribosomal RNA, internal transcribed spacer 2, and large subunit ribosomal RNA
Source: RNAcentral